GAUGAACGCUGGCGGCGUGCUUAACACAUGCAAGUCGAACGAGAAGUGAAGACGGAAACCUUCGGGCGGAUGGCUUUAUUUCGAGUGGCGGACGGGUGAGUAACGCGUGGGUAACCUGCCUCAUACAGGGGGAUAACAGUUGGAAACGACUGUUAAUACCGCAUAAGACCACAGCACCGCAUGGUGCGGGGGUAAAAACUCAGGUGGUAUGAGAUGGACCCGCGUUCGAUUAGCCAGUUGGCGGGGUAACGGCCCACCAACGCGACGAUCGAUAGCCGAUCUGAGAGGAUGACCGGCCACAUUGGGACUGAGACACGGCCCAAACUCCUACGGGAGGCAGCAGUGGGGAAUAUUGCACAAUGGGGGAAACCCUGAUGCAGCGACGCCGCGUGAGUGAAGAAGGAUUUCGGUAUGUAAAGCUCUAUCAGCAGGGAAGAAAAUGACGGUACCUGAGGAAGAAGCCCCGGCUAACUACGUG
This 478-nucleotide ribosomal RNA is filed under the name uncultured bacterium. RNAcentral's name for it is "partial 16S ribosomal RNA". It matches the Rfam family "Bacterial small subunit ribosomal RNA", at positions 28 to 507 of the family's 1533-position model. The record is from RNAcentral.